AUUGAACGCUGGCGGCAGGCCCAACACAUGCAAGUCGAACGGUAACAGGAAGCAGCUUGCUGCUUUGCUGACGAGUGGCGGACGGGUGAGUAAUGUCUGGGAAACUGCCUGAUGGAGGGGGAUAACUACUGGAAACGGUAGCUAAUACCGCAUAACGUCGCAAGACCAAAGAGGGGGACCUUCGGGCCUCUUGCCAUCGGAUGUGCCCAGAUGGGAUUAGCUAGUAGGUGGGGUAACGGCUCACCUAGGCGACGAUCCCUAGCUGGUCUGAGAGGAUGACCAGCCACACUGGAACUGAGACACGGUCCAGACUCCUACGGGAGGCAGCAGUGGUGAAUAUUGCACAAUGGGCGCAAGCCUGAUGCAGCCAUGCCGCGUGUAUGAAGAAGGCCUUCGGGUUGUAAAGUACUUUCAGCGGUGAGGAAGGGAGUAAAGUUAAUACCUUUGCUCAUUGACGUUACCCGCAGAAGAAGCACCGGCUAACUCCGUG
This 490-nucleotide ribosomal RNA is filed under the name uncultured bacterium. Its description in RNAcentral is "partial 16S ribosomal RNA". It matches the Rfam family "Bacterial small subunit ribosomal RNA", at positions 30 to 507 of the family's 1533-position model. The record is from RNAcentral.